AGUGAACGCUGGCGGUAGGCCUAACACAUGCAAGCCGAACGGCAGCACAGUAAGAGCUUGCUCUUACGGGUGGCGAGUGGCGGACGGGUGAGGAAUACAUCGGAAUCUACUUUUUCGUGGGGGAUAACGUAGGGAAACUUACGCUAAUACCGCAUACGACCUACGCGUGAAAGCAGGGGAUCUUCGGACCUUGCGCGAUUGAAUGAGCCGAUGUCGGAUUAGCUAGUUGGCGGGGUAAAGGCCCACCAAGGCGACGAUCCGUAGCUGGUCUGAGAGGAUGAUCAGCCACACUGGAACUGAGACACGGUCCAGACUCCUACGGGAGGCAGCAGUGGGGAAUAUUGGACAAUGGGCGCAAGCCUGAUCCAGCCAUACCGCGUGGGUGAAGAAGGCCUUCGGGUUGUAAAGCCCUUUUGUUGGGAAAGAAAAGCAGCAGGUUAAUACCCCGCUGUUCUGACGGUACCCAAAGAAUAAGCACCGGCUAACUUCGUG
Molecule: ribosomal RNA, 492 nt
Filed under: uncultured bacterium
Lineage: Bacteria
Description: partial 16S ribosomal RNA
Rfam family: Bacterial small subunit ribosomal RNA
Source: RNAcentral